GGCCCUACGGGGUGCAGCAGGCGCGAAAACUUUACAAUGCUGGGAACAGCGAUAAGGGAACAUCGAGUGCCAGGUUACAAAUCUGGCUGUCGUGAUGCCUAAAAAGCAUUAUAUAGCAAGGGCCGGGCAAGACCGGUGCCAGCCGCCGCGGUAACACCGGCGGCUCGAGUGGUAACCGUUAUUAUUGGGUCUAAAGGGUCUGUAGCCGGCCGGAUAAGUCUCUUGGGAAAUCUGGCAGCUCAACUGUCAGGCUUUCAGGGGAUACUGUCUGGCUCGAGGCCGGGAGAGGUGAGAGGUACUUCAGGGGUAGGGGUGAAAUCUUGUAAUCCUUGAAGGACCACCAGUGGCGAAGGCGUCUCACCAGAACGGACCUGACGGCAAGGGACGAAAGCUAGGGGCACGAACCGGAUUAGAUACCCGGGUAGUCCUAGCCGUAAACGAUACUCGCUAGGUGUCGGCCACGGUGCGACCGUUGUCGGUGCCGUAGGGAAGCCGUGAAGCGAGCCACCUGGGAAGUACGGCCGCAAGGCUGAAACUUAAAGGAAUUGGCGGGGGAGCACCACAACGGGUGGAGCUUGCGGUUUAAUUGGACUCAACGCCGGGAAGCUCA
Molecule: ribosomal RNA, 610 nt
Filed under: uncultured archaeon
Lineage: Archaea
Description: bacterial SSU rRNA
Rfam family: Archaeal small subunit ribosomal RNA
Source: RNAcentral